GGGGAUUUAGCUCAGCGGUAGAGUGCUUGCCUAGCAAGCACAAGGCCCUGGGUUCAGUCCCCAGCUCCG
Molecule: transfer RNA, 69 nt
Filed under: Rattus norvegicus (Norway rat)
Lineage: Eukaryota; Metazoa; Chordata; Mammalia; Rodentia; Muridae
Rfam family: tRNA
About the family: Transfer RNA (tRNA) molecules are approximately 80 nucleotides in length. Their secondary structure includes four short double-helical elements and three loops (D, anti-codon, and T loops).
Source: Rfam by way of RNAcentral